Long non-coding RNA from Impatiens glandulifera, 599 nucleotides. RefSeq lists it as uncharacterized. Lineage: Eukaryota; Viridiplantae; Streptophyta; Magnoliopsida; Ericales; Balsaminaceae. The record is from RefSeq and is a predicted model, not a curated record. The transcript is spliced from 2 exons.
AGUUUCGACUCUGGAUACUUCUAGACUCGAUUAUAUAAAUUUUUUCACUAUUCAUACAGUAGUUUGAAUUUAUUUAGAGCCAAAUCUCUCAAACUUUGUAUCCUCCAGUUUUAGGAAACUUGUAAAUUUUGAGUAACAAGAAUCUGAAGAUGCAAGAGAGGCCCCUGCCAGAAAGUUGUUUGCACAGCUUGAUAAGGACGCAAACAGAUACUUGUCGGACAUUGAAUUGGUACCGGUCAUUGGAAAACUUCAUCCAUCAGAGCGUUAUUAUGCAAAACAACAGAAAUGAUUGCAGGCUGAUUCGGAUAAGGAUGGAAAGUUAAGCUUGACAGAAAUGAUAGAUAACCCCUAUGUGUUUUAUAGUGCUAUAUUCAGCGAGGAAGAGGAAGACGACUUUGAGAAUCAUGACGAGUUUCGCUAGUCUUCACACGACACCGACAGAACUUUGGUCUUCUCUAGAAUUUGAAAAAUGUUUGUAGGAUAAAACAGGUACACUAUCAUUCAUCAUUGGCUGUAAAACUUUGAAGACUUGAUACUUAUUUUUAUGUAAGCAAUUUGUAUUCUUAUUUAUUGAAGAAGAAAGCAUGUAUGUGAGUUCA